AUAAAUGUUUAGGGAAUGUUAAAAUGUUUGGAACAGUGAGCUUAAUCGUAUUAAAUCAAAAUAGAACGAAUUUAAUCCAAUUAAAAUAUGUUGAGUCGAAUUGUAUCGAAGCGACUUAGAUUGAAUCAAAUCAUAUCGAAUCAUAACAUCUCAAAUUGAUUCGCAUUGUGAUGAAUUGCUCCGACUUGAAUUUUAUCGAAUUAAAUCAAUACUAGUUUGAAUCACACUGAUUUGAUUACACCAAAUUGACUCGUGUCAAUUUGAAUUACGUCGAAUUGAAUCACAUUGUUCAAUGGUUAAGAGCAUUCGUUUACAUUCGCUUGUUCACGUUUGAGCUUUAAUGCAGUACGAGCACUCGCUAGCGUAGUGUAAACGCACCCUAACAGACCCUAGUACAUGCAUAAGUACACGAUGUCACGUUAUAUUUCAAUUAUUCUUAUCAACUAAUAAAUAAUACAAAAAUCACCCUUUUAUUUUACCAUUCCCAAGUGUUAAAGAACGAGAGAAAUUAAAAUUUGUUUAAAUAUAUCUCUUGAACGGUAAGGGUAGUAAAUUAAAAUUAAUCGCUGUUUCUUAUUUUGAGUAUGUUAAUUCGUUAUUGGAGAGAAUACAUAGUUAACAAUUUAGUUACAAAUUAUUUGACAAGCGGAAAAACAGCGAGUCUCCGUUCUAUGUUCUAUAUUCUAUGGGAGUUGGUCGAACGAUCGAAAAGCUUGGUCAGUUGUAGCGCCGACUCGGCUCGAAGUUGUGUAGUUUAAAGGCACGUCACUGUACAAACUAGAAGCACGUUUUUUUUCCUAUUAAGUAACGUAGAGACAGUAAUAUUCGGAAAAAAUAACUCUUGCGACAAUGCCGCGUCAACCAGCACAUUGGAGAAAAUUCGUAUUCGUCUAUAUUUUCCACUUAUUUUCAUAUGCAACUUCCACGGUGCAUGUACAACUGAUAGCACCGCGCUACGUAACCUACGGGAGCACAGCGGUUCUGCAUUGCAAUCAUAGUGUCCCAGAUGCUUCCUUGCAUAAAGUCGAGUUCAUGAAGGAUGACAAGACGAUAUUACGAUACAUAAAGGAUAGGAAACCACCGUUCCUUGACUUGUGGGUAGACGGUGCAAAUAUGGAGUACAUGGAAAAUGGCACGACAAUCAAAUUAAAGGACGUCCGUUACGAGGCGUCUGCAUCGUAUUCCUGUCUGGUAUCAAUGACGACUCCUAUUUAUACCCAGGCUUCCGAACCCGUUCAUAUGAAAGUUAUAGUACCACAGACUGAAAACCCGAAAAUCACAUUCGAGAAAAGCAUGUACGUGGUCGGCGAAAAUUUAGAGGCGAAUUGCACCUCCUCGGCUGCGCAUCCAGUUCCUCACUUGACUUGGUAUAUAAACGGGAAGGAGGUGGAUAUUAGCCUGGUAAAUCAUUAUCCUCUCACGCAUCACAAGGACCAAUUGAUGUCCGCGACGGCAAAACUAAUGAUAGAGGUUUCCGCGUUGCAUGCAGGGGAAAAUGGAUAUCUAGAGAUCAGCUGUUAUUCCACCAUUCCGGAUUACCCCUUAAACCACGAGCAGUAUGCUGAUGUCAGGAAGGAAACGGUUUCGGAAAGGUGGCACCUAUCUUCGUUUCGCUGAAGUUCCACUAAUUCCAACGGACACAUGCCCCGUGAAGGGUGUAAAUCCAGAGCUGCAUUUAUGUGCAGGCUGGGCGGAAGGCGGAAGAGAUGCUUGUCAAGUUUGGUGACAGUGGUGGGCCAUUAAUUUGUGAUAAGACACAGGUAGGAAUAGUAUCCUGGGGACAUGGAUGUGCUCGUCCUAACUCUCCUGGCG
This 1812-nucleotide unclassified non-coding RNA is filed under the name Megachile rotundata (alfalfa leafcutting bee). Its description in RNAcentral is "uncharacterized LOC100879109, transcript variant X5". Lineage: Eukaryota; Metazoa; Arthropoda; Insecta; Hymenoptera; Megachilidae. The record is from RNAcentral.